GAUGAACGCUGGCGGCGUGCCUAAUACAUGCAAGUCGAGCGAACAGAUGAGGAGCUUGCUCCUCUGACGUUAGCGGCGGACGGGUGAGUAACACGUGGAUAACCUACCUAUAAGACUGGGAUAACUUCGGGAAACCGGAGCUAAUACCGGAUAAUAUAUUGAACCGCAUGGUUCAAUAGUGAAAGACGGUUUUGCUGUCACUUAUAGAUGGAUCCGCGCCGCAUUAGCUAGUUGGUAAGGUAACGGCUUACCAAGGCAACGAUGCGUAGCCGACCUGAGAGGGGGAUCGGCCACACUGGAACUGAGACACGGUCCAGACUCCUACGGGAGGCAGAAGUAGGGAAUCGUCCGCAAUGGGCGAAAGCCUGACGGAGCAACGCAGCGUGAGUGAUGAAGGUCUUCGGAUCGUAAAACUCUGUUAUUAGGGAAGAACAAAUGUGUAAGUAACUAUGCACGUCUUGACGGUACCUAAUCAGAAAGCCACGGCUAACUACGU
This 496-nucleotide ribosomal RNA is filed under the name uncultured bacterium. RNAcentral describes it as "partial 16S ribosomal RNA". It matches the Rfam family "Bacterial small subunit ribosomal RNA", at positions 28 to 506 of the family's 1533-position model. The record is from RNAcentral.